This 237-nucleotide ribosomal RNA is filed under the name uncultured bacterium. RNAcentral describes it as "partial 16S ribosomal RNA". It matches the Rfam family "Bacterial small subunit ribosomal RNA", at positions 99 to 334 of the family's 1533-position model. The record is from RNAcentral.
CGAACGGGUGAGUAACGCGUGAGGAACCUGCCUCAAAGAGGGGGACAACAGUUGGAAACGACUGCUAAUACCGCAUAAGCCCACGACCCGGCAUCGGGUAGAGGGAAAAGGAGCAAUCCGCUUUGAGAUGGCCUCGCGUCCGAUUAGCUAGCUGGUGAGGUAACGGCCCACCAAGGCGACGAUCGGUAGCCGGACUGAGAGGUUGAACGGCCACAUUGGGACUGAGGCACGGCCCAG